Non-coding RNA from Parcubacteria group bacterium CG1_02_42_13, 2366 nucleotides. The record is from Rfam.
AUUGUGGUUACUAAGAGUUGAUGGUGGAUGCCUAGGAAGGUUGAGGCGAAGAAGGACGUGGCGUGACUGCGAUAAGCCUCGGGGAGGUGUCAAGCAACCUAUGAACCGGGGAUGUCCGAAUGGGGAAACCCUCCGCAGCAAAACUGCGGAACCGAGCCAGAACUAAGUACAGUUUUGGGAGCGCCCAAGUAGUAGAAGUUUCACUUCACUACUGAGCAGCCCCGAACCGCGCUUCGCUCUGGUUCGGGGCGCACCCAGGGAAGCAAAACAUUCUAGUACCUGGAGGAAAAUAGAACAAUAGUUAUUCCCUUAGUAGCGGCGAGUGAAAAGGGAGAUAGCCUAGACCGAGCACAUAAAUUUUUAUGUGCUUGGAGUUAAAAGAUGUUGACAUUAAAAAUUUUCUUUUAAAGAGAAAAUUUUGAAAAGGAGUAAUAAAAUUAAUUGUUAGCCGAAAUCUUCUGGAAUGCAAUACCAAAGAAGGUGAUAGUCCUGUAGGCGAAAAUAAUUAAUCUCCUAGUCUUCGUUCUUAAGUACUAUGGGGCAUGAUAAACCCGUAGGAAUUCGGGUCAACUACAGACCCAAGGCUAAAUACUCAACCUUACCGAUAGUGAACUAGUACCGUGAGGGAAAGGUGAAAAGUAGGGCGGCGAGCCCGAUGAAAUAGAAUCUGAAACCAUCUAACUUACAAAGAGUCGGAGCCGAGCACAUAAUUUAUUAUGUGCUUCGGUGACGGCGUACUUUUUGGAGAACGAGCCAACGAGUUCGCUCUCCACCAUCGUCUAAGCCCUUAUGGGGCGGAGACACAGCGAAAGCGAGUGUUAAUAGCGCGCCUCUCUGAUUUAUCAGAGAAAAUGGUGGGGAGCGAGACCCGAAGCCAAGCGAGCUUGCCAUGAUCAGGGUGAACCCGGCAGAAGUGCUGGGGAAGGCCCGAACCUGUGAGCCGUGCAAUACUCUAGGAUGAAUCGUGGUAAGAAGAGAAAACCUAAACGAGCUUGGUAAUAGCUGGUUCUUCCCGAAAUAGCUUUAGGACUAGCCUCCGCAAAAUAAUAUUUUGGGGGUAGAGCACUGAAUGAAUUACCGUGGAAUUUUUUCCAGGUAUUUUAAUCAAACUCCGAAUACCAAAAUAUUUAGGAGAGUAAGAACCUGGGCGCUAAGGUCCAGGCUCAAAAGGGGAACAGCCCAGACCUUCAUCUAAGGUCCCUAAAUUUGAGCUAAGUGCAAGUAAGGAAGUGAAAUUCCUUUGAUAGUCAGGAGGUGAGCUUAGAAGCAGCUAUCCUUUAAAAAGUGCGUAACAGCUUACUGAUUAAGGAGUUUUGCACCAAAGAUUAACGGGGCUAAAGCUCAAUACCGAAGAUAAGGACGAGCACAUAAUUCGUUAUGUGCUCGUGGUAGGGAAGCGUUCAGUUCGCAGCGAAGCCAAAGCGUGAGCAAUGGUGGAGUGAACUGAAGUGAGAAUGUUGGCAUGAGUAACCGCAAUGGCAGUGAAAAACUGCCACACCGAAAGCCUAAGAUUUCCUUGGCAAUGAUUUUCAGCCAGGGGUUAGGCGGGCCUAAUUUUGUCGCCCAAAGGCGGCAAGAGAUGGACAGCUGGUUAAUAUUCCAGCCCUUUCUUAUAUGAGUCUAGAGAGCGACGGAACCUAGUAAUUCAGGCUAAUUAUUGGAUUUUAGUUUUCGUUCUAAUGGAGAUCCUUUUAGGGUUUCUCAAGGAACGCGAAAAUGUCUGGUUUCGAUCAGACAAAUCUGAGCGAGCAGGUUUCCCAGAAAAGCUUUUUAGAAGUUAUCAUAUAGGAGAUCCGUAUCUAAAACCGACACAGGUAGGCUGGUGUGAGAGCACCAAGGUGAACGGGUGAAAGCUCCUGAAGGAACUCGGCAAACAAGCGCCCGUAACUUCGGGAUAUGGGCUUCCCCCACCACUUUGUUUUUAAUUUCACGAAAAACCAAAAAAUUUGGUUAAUCGCGGAAAAUUGAGGCCAAAGUGGUGGGGGACGCAGCGAAAGUUUUUUUAGCGACUGUUUAUCAAAAACACAGGUUCCUGCUCAAACUCGUAAGAGGAUGUAUAGGAACUGAGACCUGACCAGUGCUGGAACGUCAACGAUCUCGGUCUUGCUGCAAAGUGAGGCUAAGGGUCCGAAGCGCCAGUAAACGUCCGCGGUAACUCUGACCGUGUUAAAGUAGCGUAACCCCUUGUCGGGUAAGUUCCGACCCGCAUGAAAGGUUUCACGACUAAGAAACUGUCUCCAGGAGUCGCCCGGUGAAAAUGCAAUAUGGGUGAAGAUGCCCAUUACUUGCGGCUAGACGGAAAGACCCCGAGAGCUUUACUGUAGUCAGGCAUUGAGUUUUGGUAUUGGAUGCGUAGCGUAGCGGGC